This 253-nucleotide ribosomal RNA is filed under the name uncultured microorganism. Its description in RNAcentral is "partial 16S ribosomal RNA". It matches the Rfam family "Bacterial small subunit ribosomal RNA", at positions 524 to 776 of the family's 1533-position model. The record is from RNAcentral.
UACGGAGGGGGCAAGCGUUGUUCGGAGUUACUGGGCGUAAAGCGCGCGUAGGCGGUGCGGUAAGUCAGGGGUUAAAGGCUGCAGCUCAACUGCAGUAAGGCCUUUGAUACUAUCGUGCUAGAGUGUCAGAGAGGAUGGCGGAAUUCCCGGUGUAGCGGUGAAAUGCGUAGAUAUCGGGAGGAAGGCCGGUGGCGAAGGCGGCCUCCUGGGCCUGCACUGACGCUGAGGCGCGAAAGCGUGGGGAGCAAACAGG